UAUCUCUCCGUACGGGGAAGGAUGAGAAGCUUCGACUAAGGUUCGAUUCGAGCGAAAGCGAGAAAGCGUUGCCAACGGCAACGACCCGAAGGGCGAAGCGCGAAGCGCGCAGCGCUGAGUCAUCCUUCCCCCACCACCA
RNAcentral lists this small RNA (139 nucleotides) under Salmonella enterica. RNAcentral describes it as "RtT sRNA". It matches the Rfam family "RtT RNA". Rfam says of the family: This family represents a bacterial cis-regulatory element known as RtT RNA. Lineage: Bacteria; Pseudomonadati; Pseudomonadota; Gammaproteobacteria; Enterobacterales; Enterobacteriaceae. The record is from RNAcentral.